AAACCAGGAUUAGAUACCCUAUUAUACUUUAAUUUCUUUGGUAGUAUUACUAUUUUUAAUAAACCAAUGUAGUUUGGCGGCAUUCAAUCACUUUAGAGGAACCUGUCUAUUAAUCGACUCUCCACGAUAUAUUUCACUUUUAUUUAUAUUUUAUAUACCACCAUCUUUUAGGAUUAAUAUAAAUAUUCUUUCCUUAAUAGAAACUUCUCAUAAGUUAGG
RNAcentral lists this ribosomal RNA (219 nucleotides) under Gibbaranea occidentalis. RNAcentral describes it as "partial 12S ribosomal RNA". The record is from RNAcentral. Lineage: Eukaryota; Metazoa; Arthropoda; Arachnida; Araneae; Araneidae.